CCUACGGGAGGCUGUAGUGAGGAAUAUUGGUCAAUGGACGAGAGUCUGAACCAGCCAAGUAGCGUGAAGGAUGACUGCCCUAUGGAUUGUAAACUUCUUUUGUAAAGGAAUAAAGCGAGGCACGUGUGCGUUUUUGCGUGUACUUUAUGAAUAAGGAUCGGCUAACUCCGUGCCAGCAGCCGCGGUAAUACGGAGGAUCCGAGCGUUAUCCGGAUUUAUUGGGUUUAAAGGGAGCGUAGAUGGGUUGUUAAGUCAGGUGUGAAAGUUUGCGGCUCAACCGUAAAACUGCCAUUGAUACUGGUAGUCUUGAGUACAGUUGAGGUAGGCGGAAUGCGUGGUGUAGCGGUGAAAUGCUUAGAUAUCACGAAGAACCCCGAUUGCGAAGGCAGCUUACCAAACUGCGACUGACAUUGAUGCUCGAAAGCGUGGGUAUCAAACAGGAUUAGAUACCCCUGUAGUC
Molecule: ribosomal RNA, 460 nt
Filed under: uncultured bacterium
Lineage: Bacteria
Description: partial 16S ribosomal RNA
Rfam family: Bacterial small subunit ribosomal RNA
Source: RNAcentral